This 503-nucleotide ribosomal RNA is filed under the name uncultured bacterium. RNAcentral's name for it is "partial 16S ribosomal RNA". It matches the Rfam family "Bacterial small subunit ribosomal RNA", at positions 30 to 523 of the family's 1533-position model. The record is from RNAcentral.
AUUGAACGCUGGCGGCAGGCUUAACACAUGCAAGUCGAGCGGGGUGAUGGUGCUUGCACUAUCACUUAGCGGCGGACGGGUGAGUAAUGCUUAGGAAUCUGCCUAUUAGUGGGGGACAACAUCUCGAAAGGGAUGCUAAUACCGCAUACGUCCUACGGGAGAAAGCAGGGGAUCACUUGUGACCUUGCGCUAAUAGAUGAGCCUAAGUCGGAUUAGCUAGUUGGUGGGGUAAAGGCCUACCAAGGCGACGAUCUGUAGCGGGUCUGAGAGGAUGAUCCGCCUACCUGGGACAGAGACACGGCCCAGACUCCUACGGGAGGCAGCAGUGGGGAAUAUUGGACAAUGGGGGGAACCCUGAUCCAGCCAUGCCGCGUGUGUGAAGAAGGCCUUAUGGUUGUAAAGCACUUUAAGCGAGGAGGAGGCUCUUUUGGUUAAUACCCAAGAUGAGUGGACGUUACUCGCAGAAUAAGCACCGGCUAACUCUGUGCCAGCAGCCGCGGUAA